Molecule: ribosomal RNA, 467 nt
Filed under: uncultured bacterium
Lineage: Bacteria
Description: SSU rRNA
Rfam family: Bacterial small subunit ribosomal RNA
Source: RNAcentral
GGCUUAGAGUUUGAUCCUGGCUCAGAUUGAACGCUGGCGGCAGGCCUAACACAUGCAAGUCGAGCGGAUGAAGGGAGCUUGCUCUCUGAUUCAGCGGCGGACGGGUGAGUAAUGCCUAGGAAUCUGCCUGGUAGUGGGGGACAACGUUUCGAAAGGAACGCUAAUUCCGCAUACGUCCUACGGGAGAAAGCAGGGGACCUUCGGGCCUUGCGCUAUCAGAUGAGCCUAGGUCGGAUUAGCUAGUUGGUGAGGUAAUGGCUCACCAAGGCGACGAUCCGUAACUGAUCUGAGAGGAUGAUCAGUCACACUGGAACUGAGACACGGUCCAGACUCCUACGGGAGGCAGCAGGGGGGAAUAUUGGACAAUGGGCGAAAGCCUGAUCCAGCCAUGCCGCGUGUGUGAAGAAGGUCUUCGGAUUGUAAAGAGAUUUAAGUUGGGAGGAAGGGCAGUAAAUUAAUGGUNNUGC